This 402-nucleotide ribosomal RNA is filed under the name uncultured bacterium. Its description in RNAcentral is "bacterial SSU rRNA". It matches the Rfam family "Bacterial small subunit ribosomal RNA", at positions 355 to 774 of the family's 1533-position model. The record is from RNAcentral.
UGGGGAAUAUUGCACAAUGGGGGAAACCCUGAUGCAGCAACGCCGCGUGAGUGAUGACGGCCUUCGGGUUGUAAAGCUCUGUCUUCAGGGACGAUAAUGACGGUACCUGAGGAGGAAGCCACGGCUAACUACGUGCCAGCAGCCGCGGUAAUACGUAGGUGGCAAGCGUUGUCCGGAUUUACUGGGCGUAAAGGGAGCGUAGGCGGACUUUUAAGUGAGAUGUGAAAUACCCGGGCUCAACCUGGGUGCUGCAUUUCAAACUGGAAGUCUAGAGUGCAGGAGAGGAGAGUGGAAUUCCUAGUGUAGCGGUGAAAAGCGUAGAGAUUAGGAAGAACACCAGUGGCGAAGGCGACUCUCUGGACUGUAACUGACGCUGAGGCUCGAAAGCGUGGGGAGCAAACA